CCAACCUGGUUUCCAGGCUCUUAACCUGGGAAUGAGGUUGUAUCUGCACAACUUGCUGCAGUGGUAAGAAGUAGCGUUUUGCGAUGCGUACAUUCUCAGACUUUGGGAGAGCUGGCCGUACACCCAGAUAAACCGAGUGUCAUGAGAAAGGCUAAUUCUACAACCUGAGCGCGAACCGCAAGAAGACAGUACCUAAUUUUAAUAUAUUUAGCCGUUUACGACCAAUCCAUAGUUCUUUAAUAGACGAUUCCCCUUAUUACGUUUUCAUAGCGCUUUGCAUUGUGGUUAUAGUGGUAUCACUGAUAAAGAUACGGCCUCGAAUGAAAAUAUUGAAUGUUUUCGCGAAUAUUUUGCUGUUGGCUAUCACGCACCUGACCCUAGCUUUUUUUAAGAGUUCUUGCAUGGGUCAGGACAAAAAAUAAGCCAUCUUGAAUGUCAGUGAUACCAC
Paramuricea clavata is the source of this 448-nucleotide non-coding RNA. The record is from the annotation of a GenBank genome assembly. NCBI's taxonomy places the organism in Eukaryota, Metazoa, Cnidaria, Anthozoa, Malacalcyonacea, Plexauridae.